GAUGAACGCUGGCGGCGUGCCUAAUACAUGCAAGUCGAGCGAACAGACGAGGAGCUUGCUCCUCUGACGUUAGCGGCGGAAGGGUGAGUAACACGUGGAUAACCUACCUAUAAGACUGGGAUAACUUCGGGAAACCGGAUCUAAUACCGGAUAAUAUAUUGAACCGCAUGGUUCAAUAGUGAAAGACGGUUUUGCUGUCACUUAUAGAUGGAUCCGCGCCGCAUUAGCUAGUUGGUAAGGUAACGGCUUACCAAGGCAACGAUGCGUAGCCGACCUGAGAGGGUGAUCGGCCACACUGGAACUGAGACACGGUCCAGACUCCUACGGGAGGCAGCAGUAGGGAAUCUUCCGCAAUGGGCGAAAGCUUGACGGAGCAACGCCGCGUGAGUGAUGAAGGUCUUCGGAUCGUAAAACUCUGUUAUUAGGGAAGAACAAAUGUGUAAGUAACUAUGCACGUCUUGACGGUACCUAAUCAGAAAGCCACGGCUAACUACGUG
RNAcentral lists this ribosomal RNA (497 nucleotides) under uncultured bacterium. Its description in RNAcentral is "partial 16S ribosomal RNA". It matches the Rfam family "Bacterial small subunit ribosomal RNA", at positions 28 to 507 of the family's 1533-position model. The record is from RNAcentral.